AUUGAACGCUGGCGGCAUGCCUUACACAUGCAAGUCGAACGGCAGCACGGGAGCAAUCCUGGUGGCGAGUGGCGAACGGGUGAGUAAAGUAUCGGAACGUGCCCAGUCGUGGGGGAUAACGUAGCGAAAGUUACGCUAAUACCGCAUACGAUCUAUGGAUGAAAGCGGGGGAUCGCAAGACCUCGCGCGAUUGGAGCGGCCGAUAUCAGAUUAGGUAGUUGGUGGGGUAAAGGCUCACCAAGCCGAAGAUCUGUAGCUGGUCUGAGAGGACGACCAGCCACACUGGGACUGAGACACGGCCCAGACUCCUACGGGAGGCAGCAGUGGGGAAUUUUGGACAAUGGGCGAAAGCCUGAUCCAGCCAUGCCGCGUGCAGGAUGAAGGCCUUCGGGUUGUAAACUGCUUUUGUACGGAACGAAAAGGUUUGGGCUAAUAAGCUGAGCUCAUGACGGUACCGUAAGAAUAAGCACCGGCUAACUACGUGCCAGCAGCCGCCGCGG
RNAcentral lists this ribosomal RNA (500 nucleotides) under uncultured bacterium. RNAcentral's name for it is "partial 16S ribosomal RNA". It matches the Rfam family "Bacterial small subunit ribosomal RNA", at positions 30 to 523 of the family's 1533-position model. The record is from RNAcentral.